CAGGUCAAUAUGCUUUGCAGCCCUGUGGGGGCGCUACAGAGUGAAGCUCAAACCACCAAACUUUUCCUGGUAGAAGACUAAUCGUUUUUUGGAUUGAAAGAGUGAGUUGCUGUCAUUUGCGGAGAGAGCCGAGGAGGAAAGAAUAGCAGUUAAUCCAGGUUUUAAAAGCAUGUUCAGAGUGUGUAACUUGCAAACAUCCCUAAACCUGCUGGAAGAGUUAAACUAGUGCUCUUCUCCUCUCUAAACCCACACGCCGCUACGCAGUCUGUCCUCACCCGUUUCUCCCCGCUGGUCUCGCAUGGUUGUUCGCUAUAUGCUCUGUGUUUCUACUCCCAGAGCUUCUAUCACACUGCAGUCUGGAUCCAGCCCUGCAUGCCCCAAGCAGCAAAGGAGAGGACAGGUACAUGUCAAACAACCACCACAAC
Molecule: long non-coding RNA, 425 nt
Organism: Myxocyprinus asiaticus (Chinese sucker)
Lineage: Eukaryota; Metazoa; Chordata; Actinopteri; Cypriniformes; Catostomidae
Exons: 3
Source: RefSeq, a predicted model, not a curated record